RNAcentral lists this ribosomal RNA (392 nucleotides) under uncultured bacterium. RNAcentral's name for it is "partial 16S ribosomal RNA". It matches the Rfam family "Bacterial small subunit ribosomal RNA", at positions 523 to 918 of the family's 1533-position model. The record is from RNAcentral.
AUACGGAGGAUCCGAGCGUUAUCCGGAUUUAUUGGGUUUAACGGGUGCGCAGGCGGCCAUUUAAGUCAGCGGUUAAAUCGUGGGGCUCAACCCCAUUCUGCAGUUGAUACUGGGUGGCUUGAUUGCGGUCAAGGUUGGCGGAAUUCGUUGUGUAGCGGUGAAAUGCAUAGAUAUGACGAAGAACACCGAUUGCGUAGGCAGCUGACCAGAUCGCAAAUGACGCUCAUGCACGAAAGUGCGGGGAUCGAACAGGAUUAGAUACCCUGGUAGUCCGCACAGUAAACGAUGAAUACUUGUUUUCGGCGAUAUAAUGUCGGAGGCAAAGCGAAAGCGAUAAGUAUUCCACCUGGGGAGUACGCCGGCAACGGUGAAACUCAAAUGAAUUGACGGGG